CCAAGGAAUGCAGGCGGCUUCCAGAAGCUGACAAAGCAAGGGAACAGAUUCUCCCCUGGAGCCUCCAGGAAGCAUACGGCUCUGGGAACACCUUGAUUGUUAGCUCAAUGAGACUUGCCUUGGAUUGCUGACUGGUGUGAUAAGUGUGCGUUGUUUCAAACCAUUUGUUAGGGCAGCUACAGGAAAUUAAUACAGCGCUCUUACCCAAGCACCACGUGGGCACUGGGGCUUCCAGCAACAUUGUCCCAUUGGCAUUUUAGAAAGCUGGAUUCAAAUAUUUACCAAGCUUUCUACAUGCCAGGACCGUGCCAGGCCAUGGGGAGAUAGUGCAAAAGAGAAGUGCAGCCCCUGCCUUGGGUGGGGCUGUAAUACAUCACUGGAGGUCACUCCAGCUGCCACGCUGGAUUAGAGGCCAGCGCAGGAUGAGCAGAUUAUCACUAACUGGCAGGCUGAACAGCAGCAGUUCCUAACCGGCAGCUGCAGAGCUUUUGUUUAAUUGAAAAAAGACUUAUCUGAAGCGCUCAGAGGAGAGCACUUUGCAACAGAUGUGCCAGAGCCGGCCCAGCGGCCACUUGGCUACAGCAAAUUUGUGCCAUGGCUGCCCAUUGCCCUUUCCCAUCAGGGCAGCCUGAGGGUCUCAUGGGAAUGAGGGGUGGGGGGCCACCUGGGGUUUCUCAAAGCACGAAGCAGGAGUCUCCACUGAAGGGGAAGCAUGCUGAGAGAAGUAUACUGUGUUAUUGGGCCUGGGAUCCUGCCCAUUCUGCCAGUGCCCCCACCCACGAUGCAGCCGCUGAGUGGCCAUAGCUGUCCUGAGUUUCUUCAGCCACGGAGAGAAGUCAGAGCAUCUGGGAAAUGGAAUUGCCCAGAAGCCUCAUGGAAAGGAGCCAUGUGGAGUCCAAGGUGGCUAAAAGCUAUAAUGUCCCACCAAGGUUUCCAUGUUAAGCCCCCAAAUACACCAAGACAACUUCCCCAGCCCUCUCCAUCACCAACACAACCCAUGGCCAACAAAAAGCAGUGAGAGAAAUAGGAAGAGAAAGCCUACAAAUGCAAAUUUCA
This is a long non-coding RNA of Sapajus apella (tufted capuchin), 1056 nucleotides long. RefSeq lists it as uncharacterized. NCBI's taxonomy places the organism in Eukaryota, Metazoa, Chordata, Mammalia, Primates, Cebidae. The transcript has 2 exons. The record is from RefSeq and is a predicted model, not a curated record.